RNAcentral lists this ribosomal RNA (331 nucleotides) under Pseudoxyrhopus ambreensis. RNAcentral's name for it is "partial 12S ribosomal RNA". The record is from RNAcentral. Lineage: Eukaryota; Metazoa; Chordata; Lepidosauria; Squamata.
CAAAAACUUAAAACUCAAAAGACUUGACGGUACUUCACACCAACCUAGAGGAGCCUGUCUAAUAACCGAUAAUCCACGAUCAACCCAACCUUUUCUAGCCCUACAGUCUAUAUACCGCCGUCGCCAGCUUACCUUGUGAAAGAAAUAAAGUAAGCCAAAUAGCAUCACCCUAACACGACAGGUCGAGGUGUAACCAAUGAAAAGGACCAAGAUGGGCUACAUUUCUUUUAACCAAGAAAAACGAACAGACUAUGAAACUAGAAACUGAAGGCGGAUUUAGCAGUAAGCUAAGAACAAAAUACUUAACCGAAAUUAACGCAAUGAAGUGCGC